Molecule: ribosomal RNA, 681 nt
Filed under: Klebsiella pneumoniae
Lineage: Bacteria; Pseudomonadati; Pseudomonadota; Gammaproteobacteria; Enterobacterales; Enterobacteriaceae
Description: partial 23S ribosomal RNA
Rfam family: Bacterial large subunit ribosomal RNA
Source: RNAcentral
AUAGGUGGGAGGCUUUGAAGCGUGGACGCCAGUCUGCGUGGAGCCAACCUUGAAAUACCACCCUUUAAUGUUUGAUGUUCUAACGUUGGCCCCUGACCGGGGUUGCGGACAGUGUCUGGUGGGUAGUUUGACUGGGGCGGUCUCCUCCCAAAGCGUAACGGAGGAGCACGAAGGUUAGCUAAUCCUGGUCGGACAUCAGGAGGUUAGUGCAAUGGCAUAAGCUAGCUUGACUGCGAGCGUGACGGCGCGAGCAGGUGCGAAAGCAGGUCAUAGUGAUCCGGUGGUUCUGAAUGGAAGGGCCAUCGCUCAACGGAUAAAAGGUACUCCGGGGAUAACAGGCUGAUACCGCCCAAGAGUUCAUAUCGACGGCGGUGUUUGGCACCUCGAUGUCGGCUCAUCACAUCCUGGGGCUGAAGUAGGUCCCAAGGGUAUGGCUGUUCGCCAUUUAAAGUGGUACGCGAGCUGGGUUUAGAACGUCGUGAGACAGUUCGGUCCCUAUCUGCCGUGGGCGCUGGAGAAUUGAGGGGGGCUGCUCCUAGUACGAGAGGACCGGAGUGGACGCAUCACUGGUGUUCGGGUUGUCAUGCCAAUGGCACUGCCCGGUAGCUAAAUGCGGAAGAGAUAAGUGCUGAAAGCAUCUAAGCACGAAACUUGCCCCGAGAUGAGUUCUCCCUGAGACUU